This 1668-nucleotide long non-coding RNA is filed under the name Oryza sativa (Asian cultivated rice). RNAcentral's name for it is "long non-coding RNA (OSAT_LNC000897)". Lineage: Eukaryota; Viridiplantae; Streptophyta; Magnoliopsida; Poales; Poaceae. The record is from RNAcentral.
CUCAUGAAGUUCAAGUCAGUACUCAAAAACCUCACAAGUUUCGAUGAUCUGAUCUCAUCUCCAAAACAAACAAAAAAAAACAUUCUGAAAACUUGACUUAUGAUCUGAACUUUUUUUUUUCUUCAGGACGGUGGAGGAGGCGAUAGAGAAGGCCAACUGCACCAAGUACGGGCUGGCUGCCGGCAUUGUGACCAAGAACCUCAACAUUGCCAACAUGGUGUCGAGGUCAGUGCGGGCCGGCACGGUGUGGGUGAACUGCUACUUCGCCUUCGACCCCGACGCGCCGUUCGGCGGGUACAAGAUGAGCGGGUUCGGCCGGGACCAAGGGAUGGUCGCCAUGGACAAGUACCUGCAGGUCAAGACCGUCAUCACCGCCGUCCCGGACUCGCCCUGGUACUGAUAAAUCAAAUCAAGCAGCAGCUAUAGCUAGAGUGUACCAUGUACCAUGAAUGCUGCAGCCUGUGUAGUGUUUUCGGAUGUUUUUCUCCUUAAUUCUGCUGCUGCUUGGUGUGGUUGUAUGUAGUUUGGUUGUGGGGUGAGAUAUGGUGCAGAUUAAAAGGGGUUCUGAUGAUCAUGAUCUGAUCCUUGUUUGGUUGAACUUGUUGAGAAAUGGAUGUAUAGAACUCAUGUGCCAUCGUUUGAAAUCGUACAAAAUGUGCCUCAAAGUUCAAAGCAGGUUGGAUUAUUCGAACGGGGUACUGUGCCCUGAGCCCCUGACCGCCUUGUUCGGUAUGGAAGGGGUUGAAGGGGUUUGGAGGGAUUUGAGGGGGAAUAAUUCCACACCACAAUAGGUGUGGAAUAAAUCCCCUCCAAUCCCUCUCUCUUGGGGAUUAACCGAACAUAGCAUUAACAGUAUGACUGGAGUUGUUUUAAUUGUGUUCUCUGAUAAAUGGCCAGAGCCAGAUGCAAGAAUGAAUACUGAGCAAUACCAUUAGGACGAAUGCAUGACGGUCUCAAGUUGAAAACGGAUGAUAUAGGCAGAUAUAUAAGCACUCAUAGAAACAACAGGAAACUUCUUAAAAUAUUUGCCACGCAUUUCAGGGCAUCGUGAUAUGCUACCGAACUUUUGGUUUCCAUUAGUCAGAUGAAAAUUCCAUGUCCUGUUUUGCCGAGCCAUGUUUUUUUUUUCCGAAAGAAGAAGAAGAAAAACCAAAGUAGGAAUUUUGUACAAUAACUUUUGUUGCACAGAAAUCAUCUUAUUGGUUUGGCAUUCAUUUCUGUAAAUCAAAACAUACCAUAUUCAUUUCUAAGUUAUGCACACACUCGAUUAGCAAGAGAAAAUAAUAUUGCCUCAAAAUAUAAACAGUUUUAGGGUUGGACACGAUGUUGAUGGGCUAUACCCAUAACAUGAUAAUUUGAUUUAAUCUAUCAUAAACUAGUGGUAAUUUGAUGCAUAUUAUGAAGUCUAAUCUUACCAGUCUGAGGAUGAACUGUCGAGGGUCAAGUCGAGGAUGACGAGCGGACGAGGAGGGGGAAAGCAGGAGCCAAGAGCUAACCGAGGCGAGGUAGCUGCAGCCUCAGAGUCGCAAGCAACAAGCUGUGUCGCCGGUCGCCACACGUGGAAUUGGGAUCGACAUCUCGGCAGUUAGUGUGGCGUGGAAUUAGGAUUGCACAGCAGCCAGCACUAGGGCCAAAAAAAAUUAGACGAUCGCACAGCCUAGUAGUGCC